Molecule: transfer RNA, 67 nt
Filed under: Aphrocallistes vastus (cloud sponge)
Lineage: Eukaryota; Metazoa; Porifera; Hexactinellida; Sceptrulophora; Aphrocallistidae
Description: tRNA-Pro
Source: RNAcentral
CUAAAGAUAGAUUAAAUAAAUCAUAACUUUUGGGGAGUUAACAUGCAGAACAAUCCUGCUCUUUAUU